Molecule: ribosomal RNA, 355 nt
Filed under: uncultured bacterium
Lineage: Bacteria
Description: bacterial SSU rRNA
Rfam family: Bacterial small subunit ribosomal RNA
Source: RNAcentral
GACGAACGCUGGCGGCGUGCUUAACACAUGCAAGUCGAGCGGUAAGGCCCUUUCGGGGGUACACGAGCGGCGAACGGGUGAGUAACACGUGGGUGACCUGCCCUUAGCUCUGGGAUAAGCCUGGGAAACUGGGUCUAAUACCGGAUAUGACUCCAUGACGCAUGUUGUGGGGUGGAAAGCCUUGUGCGGCUAGGGAUGGGCCCGCGGCCUAUCAGCUUGUUGGUGGGGUGAUGGCCUACCAAGGCGACGACGGGUAGCCGGCCUGAGAGGGCGACCGGCCACACUGGGACUGAGACACGGCCCAGACUCCUACGGGAGGCAGCAGUGGGGAAUCUUGCGCAAUGGGCGAAAGCCU